Molecule: ribosomal RNA, 200 nt
Filed under: uncultured bacterium
Lineage: Bacteria
Description: partial 16S ribosomal RNA
Rfam family: Bacterial small subunit ribosomal RNA
Source: RNAcentral
AGAGUUUGAUCCUGGCUCAGGAUAAACGCUGGCGGCGUGCCUAACACAUGCAAGUCGAACGCUCUCGGGCGACCGAGAGAGUGGCGGACGGGUGAGGAACACGUGGGUUAUCUACCUUGAGGUGAGGAAUACCGGCGAGAAAUCGCCGACAAGACCGCAUACGCUCGGGCAACCGAGGAAAGUCGCAAGACGCCACAAGA